This 495-nucleotide ribosomal RNA is filed under the name uncultured bacterium. Its description in RNAcentral is "partial 16S ribosomal RNA". It matches the Rfam family "Bacterial small subunit ribosomal RNA", at positions 28 to 523 of the family's 1533-position model. The record is from RNAcentral.
GAUGAACGCUGGCGGCGUGCUUAACACAUGCAAGUCGAACGAAGCACUUGAAACGGAUUCUUCGGAUGAAGUUUCCUGUGACUGAGUGGCGGACGGGUGAGUAACGCGUGGGUAACCUGCCUCAUACAGGGGGAUAACAGUUAGAAAUGGCUGCUAAUACCGCAUAAGCGCACAGCAUCGCAUGAUGCAGUGUGAAAAACCCCGGUGGUAUGAGAUGGACCCGCGUUGGAUUAGCUAGUUGGCAGGGUAACGGCCUACCAAGGCGACGAUCCAUAGCCGGCCUGAGAGGGUGGACGGCCACAUUGGGACUGAGACACGGCCCAGACUCCUACGGGAGGCAGCAGUGGGGAAUAUUGCACAAUGGGGGAAACCCUGAUGCAGCGACGCCGCGUGAGCGAAGAAGUAUUUCGGUAUGUAAAGCUCUAUCAGCAGGGAAGAAAAUGACGGUACCUGACUAAGAAGCCCCGGCUAACUACGUGCCAGCCGCCGCAGUAA